UCAGACGCCAACGCAGCCGCGUGUUUUAAAAAACGUCUACGUUCAAACGAGCUCACCUGUUUCAACAUCGAACGGUUACGGCCUGACUCGUGAUUAGUACUAGUCGACUUUGGUUUCUAAUGCUGAUCUUUAUUGACUAGUCCCGUUAUUAACGAAAACUGUGACCGUAAAGUAACAGUUUGAAACCAGUCCUCGAUGUGGGCUCGUUCGACUGAGUGGAACGGGUUAGCCUCAGGUUAGCCUCAGGAUAGCAUCAGGUUGACUUCUGGCUGUGUUAGCCCGGUGCUAGUCCAGAGACGAUAAGAAACUACAAUGGACGAUAUGUUGUCCUACAAAUUAUACCUGACUUUGAAGUUCUGGACUCACGGAGACCAGGUGGAUCUGGUCCUACCUCCCUAAGACCCCCCCUCAUCGAAACUGAAGCUGAUCGUCAUGAAGAUCUUCAACACAGUAGGAACGUCUUUUUUGUAUUUUUCUUAAAAGUGGCCGCCGCGUCACCUUCGCUCAGUUUGACCGCCGAGCCAAACUCUCUGGGGCCGCUGUGCCUCUCUGCCGUUUGAGUCAUUGUCUUCUUGGGACGUCGGUGUGGCCAAGCGUCCCUUUGGUCUUGUGUGGAGUGGGAGCCAAUGACAGGACAGUUGAUCAGGUGUAGGUUGUGUCUUAGACAAAAGAGCAUUGAGGAACAUUUAGGGUUCGGGUUGUUUAUGUGUGCUAACCUCACCUUUAAGCCUUCCUGGAAUUGAACCAUGAACCCUUAGUCGUGCGUUUUCAUCCCCACACUGUUAGGUGGCGUUCUUGGCCCCCUGUACUUUCCCAGCUGUGUGCUGGACCUUCGUCCCUGUCCUCAUGGCCGCCGUGCCUUUGUUUUCUCAAACAAAACUGUUGCGUUAAAAUGAGGCGUAGUGUCGACGGGUGAGUCUAACCGUCCGUCAGCCUCACGCCUCAAACCCGCGUCUGUAGGCAGUGUAGGCAGGUUAGGGUUAAAUACCCCCCCUCCCCACCCCCCCAACUGUCUGUCCCCAGAUUUGAUCCAAAUUCCUGAUUUCCUAGAACCUAAACCACAAUCCUCUGCUGGUUCGGACAACGACCGUCCUCUUCAGAUUCUUCAGCCCCAAAGUCUGUCUCCACACUGACCUCCAUCGGGUCCCUCAGGAGAUCGUCUCCCUGACUUGUCCCCAAGUCUCCUCUGGGUCUGUGUGUGGUCUGUGGACGUCCGUCCCUGGUCUGGUCUCAUCUUCUGAGGUGAACUUUUGCUGAGUCAGCGUGGUCUUUCUCUAACUUUGGUUGGAUGUUCGUUGGACGUCCAUGGAACGGACUUCUCUAAAUGUUGGCUCCCGGUUGGUGAAAUGGUUCAGUUGGCUCAACCGCAGGUCGUGGUCCAAAUCCUAGCCGUAGCUUCUCCUAAACCUGGACUCUGUCAGGUUCUACGAGCCGGUUCUCCUCCACACAACAGAACAAGGUCCAACCGAGUCGACUCAUGGAAGGACUUUGUCCUUCUCCUUCUUCUGAGUGUGUGGGAGGAGUUCUGGCCGUGGACCCUCACAGAGGUGUGUACCCUGGACGCAGUUUCCAGAACCA
Long non-coding RNA from Cynoglossus semilaevis (tongue sole), 1578 nucleotides. RefSeq lists it as uncharacterized. The record is from RefSeq and is a predicted model, not a curated record. The transcript has 3 exons. NCBI's taxonomy places the organism in Eukaryota, Metazoa, Chordata, Actinopteri, Pleuronectiformes, Cynoglossidae.